Pangasianodon hypophthalmus (striped catfish) is the source of this 612-nucleotide long non-coding RNA. RefSeq lists it as uncharacterized. The record is from RefSeq and is a predicted model, not a curated record. The transcript has 2 exons. Lineage: Eukaryota; Metazoa; Chordata; Actinopteri; Siluriformes; Pangasiidae.
GGAAACGUGUGUGUGUGUGUGUGUGUGUGUGUGUGUGUGUGUGGUCACUGUAGUGUAACAGAGGUUUUUGUAUGACGGCUUCAUUAGAAUGUAUCACUGUGGUUCCCUUUCGGUGGAGGAACCAAACUCAUCAUCACCGGUCCCGCGGUGAAGCCCUCCGUGUCUCUGCUCCCUCCCUCCUCUCUGCAGCUGUCUGAGGGAUCGGCCUCGCUGCUCUGCCUGCUGUCUGCCUACUCUCCACAGGGGGCGCUGGUGAGCUGGACAGUGGACGGCUCCCAGGUGAAGGACGGGGUUCUGACCAGCGCAGAAGAACAGAAGAAGGACGGUUACACACGCAGCAGCACCCUGACCCUCAGCAAAGCACUCUGGGAAAAGGGGGAGGAGUUUGUCUGUACGGUCUCCCAUGCCGGCGUCAAUCAUCCGGUCACGUUCAGAAAGAGCCAGUGUGAAGCCUAACAGCUCCAAGAUACAAUUUAACACUGAGCUGCUUACACAUCCAUCUACAAUAGAGUUUCAGUUCUACACAAUGCUGACAUUUCUGUCUUUACUCUCUUCACUGUCCUGUUGCUCUUCCUGUAGUUUUGCUCUGCUGAAAUAAAGCUUCAUUUUGGA